UUUUUUAAUUGGAAACUUGUAUGAAUGGUUAAAUGAAAUAUUAUCUGUUUCAUAAAUAAAAUAUUAGAAUUUUAUUUUUUAGUUAAAAAGCUAAAAUUUUUUUAAAAGACGAGAAGACCCUAUAAAGUUUUAUAUAGUAUUAAUUUUAAUAUUUUAAUAAUUGUUUUUAUUUAAAUAAAUAUUAUAUUUUGUUGGGGUGACAUUAAAAUAUAAAAAACUUUUAUUUUUUAAAACAUUGAUAUAUGAAUUAAUGAUCCAAUUUUAUUGAUUAUAAGUUUAAAUUACUUUAGGGAUAACAGCAUAAUUUUUUUUUAAAGUUCAUAUUAAUAAAAAAGAUUGU
RNAcentral lists this ribosomal RNA (340 nucleotides) under Isoneuromyia pseudochracea. RNAcentral's name for it is "partial 16S ribosomal RNA". Lineage: Eukaryota; Metazoa; Arthropoda; Insecta; Diptera; Keroplatidae. The record is from RNAcentral.